ACCCAUCCAUUAAUGGCUCAUGUGUUCUUAAGACAAACCCAGCAGGCUGUAUCUGUCCAGAGUGAAACCAGAGCUUCCGCCUGCAUGGAACAAGAACGAGAGAAAGGCCUAGAAGGAGACUGACCAAGGGCUGAUCCUGCUUAUCCAUGCUACUUAUCAGGAACUGUGGAACCAUGGAGAACAUGACCCUGGCCCUCCCUUCAGGAUCUGCCUGCCUCUUGAGACGCUAGAGCCCUGGAUUCAAUUGAGGAACAUUAUGUUGGAGAAUAUAAACACUUCUAGACUGUGCAGACAUUUGGGAAGGAAUAGUCUGUUUUGACUUGAAUGAACAAAGACAUACGUCUCUGGGCCUGGGGAAGGCUUACCAGCUCAGUUCAUCUACUGCCUGGUGGCAAACAUGUCCCCUGCUGCCCCUACCCAGGAUACGCUUCCUCACUCUGUCCCUGUCCAGUUACCGCACCCUUCCCUGUUUGACCCCGCCUCCUGUGCCCACUUGCCUCUGGACCCAGAGAUUCUUCUUGUUUGCUCUAUCAUCCUUGAGCUGGAUCCAGGGUGAAUAGUUAACCACACUUGGGUUGAAUGGGAUCUUGAUUCUUAUUUCUCUUCCUUGGAAAGAGGGGUCAGUCUCGGUGCGUGGCACCCGGCCUGGAAGCAGCACAAGACUCAGAGUGAUACAUGAUCUGCCUGGAUGGUCCCGUGGGCUCUUUGGAGGUCAGAGCCUGAGCAGGGGGGCUGAGGAGGGCCGGCACUGGAUCACACGCAGGCGUAUGUCUGGAUAGGCCGAGAGGAGCCCACUUUUCAUUCCCUCUUCUGUGACACAAAUGCCAGGAACUUUGAAAACUCUCUUCGGAGGUUGCAGUCGGAGAUCAGCUUGUCCAAGGGCUUCAUGUCUGAGCUCUGUUGGUCGUGCCUCCUGAGGACCUCUUUCCUCUACUGUAUGCUGAUGACACACCCAUCCGCUGGGAGCUGGAGCCUUGUCGGGUCCUUUCCUCUAGGACCCCGCUUGCGCAGUUGGAAAUCCUUCCUAAUCAUGCCUUGAUUCCCCCUUCUCAACUACACUCAAAGAUGUUUGAGCUGUUUUAUUUGCAAAAUGGAUGGACAGUUUGUUUCUAUAAAACAAUCCCAGCUUCCUUGUGCUCUAUCUGGUGUGUUUGUAUGGCUCUUCAGUGACUUUAAAGUGGAGCGUUGACCUUGGCCUCUUCGAUUCUCCAUGGUGGAAUAGAGAAGACCUCUUGAAGAUGCUUAAUGUUGCUGAGAUCUUAAGAAGGCUUGCAGACUUCCUUUUCCUUCCUCCUCCUUCCACCUCCUUCUUCCCUAAGCAGCCUCUGCAUUGUAUACAUUCCUUUAUAUAAAUUCCUCUG
RNAcentral lists this long non-coding RNA (1361 nucleotides) under Mus caroli (Ryukyu mouse). RNAcentral's name for it is "lncRNA (MGP_CAROLIEiJ_G0004819.1)". Lineage: Eukaryota; Metazoa; Chordata; Mammalia; Rodentia; Muridae. The record is from RNAcentral.